Molecule: ribosomal RNA, 253 nt
Filed under: uncultured bacterium
Lineage: Bacteria
Description: partial 16S ribosomal RNA
Rfam family: Bacterial small subunit ribosomal RNA
Source: RNAcentral
UACGUAGGGGGCAAGCGUUGUCCGGAAUCAUUGGGCGUAAAGCGCGUGUAGGCGGUCAGACAAGUCCGCUGUGAAAACUCGAGGCUCAACUUCGAGCUGUCGGUGGAAGCUUUCUGGCUAGAGUCCGGAAGAGGAGAAUGGAAUUCCUGGUGUAGCGGUGAAAUGCGCAGAUAUCAGGAAGAACACCCGUGGCGAAGGCGGUUCUCUGGGACGGUACUGACGCUGAGACGCGAAAGCGUGGGGAGCGAACAGG